Long non-coding RNA from Cyprinus carpio carpio, 423 nucleotides. NCBI's taxonomy places the organism in Eukaryota, Metazoa, Chordata, Actinopteri, Cypriniformes, Cyprinidae. The record is from Ensembl.
AUCUGACUCUAUCUAUCUAUCUAUCUAUCUAUCUAUCUAUCUAUCUAUCCUAGCAACAUGCUAAUAAUGUUAGAAACAUCAUGUCGCUAGCAUGUUUCUAGCAUGAUUAGCAAGUGACUAGCAUGUCAGUAGCAUGAUUAGCAAGUGACUAGCAUGUUGCUAGCAUGAUUAGCGAGUGACUAGCAUGUCGCUAGCAUGUUUUUAGUAUGAUUAGCGAGUGACUAGCAUGUCGCUAGCAUGUUUUUAGCAUGAUUAGCGACGACAUGCUAGUCACUCGCUAAUCAUGCUAAAAACAUGCUAGUGACAUGCUAGUCACUUGCUAAUCAUGCUAGAAACAUGCUAGCGACAUGCUAGUAACUUGCUAAUUAUGUUAGCAACAUGCUAGUAACUAGCUUAUCAUGCUAGAAACAUGCUAGUAACUUU